This 750-nucleotide ribosomal RNA is filed under the name marine sediment metagenome. RNAcentral's name for it is "LSU rRNA". It matches the Rfam family "Bacterial large subunit ribosomal RNA", at positions 2186 to 2925 of the family's 2925-position model. The record is from RNAcentral.
UCAACCUUGAAAUACCACCCUUAUUUGUCUAGGGUUCUAACCUAGGCCCGUUAUCCGGGUCGGAGACAGUGUCUGGUGGGUAGUUUGGCUGGGGCGGUCGCCUCCUAAAGCGUAACGGAGGCGCGCGAAGGUUCCCUCAGGCUGAUUGGAAACCAGCCGUAGAGUGUAAAGGCAUAAGGGAGCUUGACUGUGAGACUGACAAGUCAAACAGGUACGAAAGUAGGUCUUAGUGAUCCGGCGGUUCUGAAUGGAAGGGCCGUCGCUCAACGAAUAAAAGGUACGCCGGGGAUAACAGGCUUAUCGCGCCCAAGAGUUCAUAUCGACGGCGCGGUUUGGCACCUCGAUGUCGGCUCAUCGCAUCCUGGGGCUGGAGCAGGUCCCAAGGGUUUGGCUGUUCGCCAAUUAAAGCGGUACGUGAGCUGGGUUUAGAACGUCGUGAGACAGUUCGGUCCCUAUCUUUCGUGGGCGUAGGAUAUUUGAGAGGAUCUUUCCCUAGUACGAGAGGACCGGGAUGGACGAACCUCUGGUGUUCCAGUUGUCGCGCCAGCGGCAUGGCUGGGUAGCUAUGUUCGGAAUGGAUAACCGCUGAAAGCAUCUAAGUGGGAAGCCAACCUCAAGAUUUGAUAUCCCUUUUCCGUGGAAACACGGGAACUGAAGACCCCUUGGAGACUACAAGGUUGAUAGGCCAGGUGUGUAAGUGCGGUAACGCAUUCAGCUAACUGGUACUAAUAGGUCGUGAGGCUUGGCCAU